GUGUGGAAAAGGAAGAAAAGUGGGCCUAGGAGCAAUGGGCAUGAGAACAUAGAGGAAGGCCUAGGAUGCAGAGAUCUCAUUUUGAAUCUUCCUGAUGUGCCUCCCAUGCCUACUGUUCUUAGGUGCUCCUUCCUCUUCCUUUCAUCU
Molecule: microRNA precursor, 147 nt
Filed under: Setaria italica (foxtail millet)
Lineage: Eukaryota; Viridiplantae; Streptophyta; Magnoliopsida; Poales; Poaceae
Also listed under: 1 other name
Description: MIR2118 microRNA precursor family
Rfam family: MIR2118 microRNA precursor family
Source: Rfam by way of RNAcentral